UUGAUCUUUAAGUUGAUUUUAGUUCAUAAAUUUCCUCUAUAUCCUCCAACACCCUUAUUUUUUUCUCUUGCAUUUUAUUGAUUAAUCUUCCUUAGUCUAAAUUCACUGAUUACAUUGCUUUGGUGGUUUCACACGUUUCCUCUACCUUCUGAAUUUCCUUUAGCUACAGAUAUUCAAGAUACUAGUAUGAAUUACCUACGUUUAAGUAGUUAAAGCCAUAAAUUUCCAUCUAAGCGCUGUUUUCCUUCAUGCCACAAAUUACCUAAUUCAUAUUUUUGUGAUUUGUUUUAUCCAUGGGUUAUUUAGAAAUAAUCAUUAUAUUUCUGAAUUUCCAGACCUCGUAGGAAUUGUUUUUAUUUUAAAAUUGUUUUUAUUGAGAGAUACCUUACAAACCAUAAAAUCCACCCCUUGAAGUAUAUAUGUAAGUGGUUUUGGGUUCAUAAAGUUGUACGAUCAUAACCACUACCAAAUUCCAAAAUAAUUCCAUCAUUCCAGAAAGAGAUUCUAUACUUGUAGCAGUCACCACUCAUUUUUCCCUUCCUUGGUUCCUGGAAAAUAUUAAUCUCCUUUCUGUUUCUAUGGGUUUGCUUAUUCUGGACAUUUCAUACAUAAAUAGAAUUAUAUAGUAUGUCUAGCUUCUUUCACUUGGUGUUUUCAAGGUUCAUCUAUGUUGUAGCAUGUGUCAUUACUCCUUUUUUUUCCCCCCAUGUGACUGGAGAUCUAACCUAGAGCCUCACACAUGCUAAGCAAGUGCUACCAUAGAGCUGCAUCUCCAGCUCUUUUUGCUUUUAGAGAUAGGGUCUUGCUAAGUUGCCCAGGAUAGACUCAAACUUGUGAUCUUCCUGCUUAGCUUCCUGAAUAGUUGGGAUUACAUGUGCACACAAUCUCAGUUCUCCCUUCUUAUAGCUCAAUAAUAUUUCACUGUGUAUGUUUGUGUAUAUAUGCACCCUACAUUCUAUGUAUAAUCAUUUGAAGGACUUUGAGUUCUUUUUACUUUUGGG
RNAcentral lists this long non-coding RNA (1001 nucleotides) under Marmota monax (woodchuck). Lineage: Eukaryota; Metazoa; Chordata; Mammalia; Rodentia; Sciuridae. The record is from RNAcentral.